ACGAUAUUUGAGUAAAGAGCCUGGCAUUUUCACUUCGCGCCAAGCCCUGCAAAUUAUUCAGCUGGUCCUGUGGGCCAGGUCAGUGGCUCCCCAGGAUCCCUGAGGCUGUUCUAUGGACUAAGGGACCCAAAGCCUACAGGUGUGGAAACAGUGGGUUCACUGUGAACAGUAUGGAAACAGCUGUGUUAAAAAAAAAUCUCCAAGUCUUUAGUGUGCCGAUGUGCUUUGUAGCCGUCCAGGAAAGGGGUGUGAGAGUCGUCUCCAAACUUCCUUGGCCACAAAACCCCUUUCUUUGUUCAAAAGCGUGUAGUAUAACAAGUAUCACAUAGACUGAUGCUGGGGGAUGAUGGCCUUGCUGUUUGCUGAGGUGUCUGUGAACUCUGCGACCUUUACCUUUUAUUACAGCGAGUUUAUGUGCAGAGUGGAAUUGGGGGGCGGGAAGGAAAGCCGCAGUUAAGAGUGAGGAUGGUGCUACUCGCUGACCCAGGACUCUGCUACAAGGAAGACUUAGGCUCCUCCAGGCUCAAGCAAGCCCACACGGACCCCCUGGACCCCCGUUUUCCUCCUCUGAAUCUUCGCUUAUGUUGCUUUGUCUCCUUACACGCUCUGUGCUACUUCAAUCCACUGAUUCUUGUCGUUUCUUUUUCUAAAAUGUAUUCCAAAUUUAUCUACCCAUCUCCCAGCUUCACCCUGCUAUAAAGCACGGUGCCCCAAAGAGACUGCCACUGCAGUCUGCUUACCCCCCGAGCUCCAGCCCAUUCUCCACGCGGUGCUCCGUCCCGGCUUUCUUUUCAAAGUGUAAACUGGCUUCACACCACCGCUUGGCUUGAAGCCCUUCAAAAGUCUUUCUACAGUUGGGAGAAAAUCCAGAUUCCUUCUCAUGAUCAAUGCCUUGCAAGCCCACCUACUUCUCCAGCUCCUUCUCAAGCUGCCUGGCGCUUGAGUCCUUCUUGAUAAUCCCCAAUUUUCUCUUUAAGAACUUUUCACUUGGGCCCACAGGAUUUUGUUCAUUCCAAUCCCCACUUUUCAAAUGGCUGGUUCUUCCUCGUGCCUCAGAUCUCCACUGAAACUCUCGAAGACGUCCCCUGCCUUUUGCCAAAGCAGGACCCUGCCCUGCCCCCAGCGCCACCCAGCCUGGUGAUGCAGUCAGCGCCUUCUGCUCUUCAGUCCCCAUAUCUGUAGCAAGCUGACUGUGUGGAGAAGUGUGUGUGACAUUCUGUUGGACGUAAAACCAGCACGUGUCCCAAGGAAAUCAGCAGCAGCGGUUUGAAACAGCAGACUGUAUGCCUAAUACGGCGGUGAACCGGGAGGAGUUGCGGGCACGCCUGCGCUCCAGAGCACCGCGCCGGGGGCCGGCGUGUGGCCGAGGGCCGGGGGCCUUCAACGGGGCAGCUGAUCUCCGUGGGGAACGUUGGUGUCGCCUCGGCCGUGGCACCGCCUCUCCGUCUGAGAUGGGCCCGUCUGCAUCGGAGACUCAUUUCCGUGGUUGAAGCCUUCACCCAGAAUCCCGGGGACUUCUCUACACGGACCAGAGAUGCGGUUUAAACCCGGUUUGUCCCCUUCAACAACACUCACUCCAGCGUUCUGAAAAACAUCCUGUACCUUCGUCCCUCUGAGAGUUCAUGCUAUAAUACGGUGGGCUAAUCGUAUUAUCUGGCGUCCCUAAGAAGGUUCAGUUCUGUGAAAUAUGGAUUGUUUUCAUCUUAGCACAGAGCCACACACACUUUCAGUCUCC
Molecule: long non-coding RNA, 1735 nt
Organism: Bos taurus (domestic cattle)
Lineage: Eukaryota; Metazoa; Chordata; Mammalia; Artiodactyla; Bovidae
Source: Ensembl